RNAcentral lists this long non-coding RNA (679 nucleotides) under Salvia miltiorrhiza (redroot sage). Its description in RNAcentral is "long non-coding RNA (SMIL_LNC012979)". Lineage: Eukaryota; Viridiplantae; Streptophyta; Magnoliopsida; Lamiales; Lamiaceae. The record is from RNAcentral.
CUAUAAUGCACGGAUUCGCCGGAAAUCACCACAUUGCAGUAUCCGAUUCGCUCAAGGGUGCUAUUCGCGUGGGAUACGCACGGGAUUCGCCACAUGGCGAAUCCCUCAAAAAAAAAAAAAUGGGUGCGCGAAUCCGGUGCGCCAAUCUCACGAAUCCGGCGGUGGCGAGGGAGCGCGACUGCGUCUGAAGAUGGAGGUUGAGCGCGGCGGCGUCUGAAGAUGGACUUCGUCGAGGGAGCGUCUGGAAGUCGUCGAAGCUCAGCCCGGAGUUGGAGCGCCUGGAAGUCGUCGAGGGAGCGGUAGAGCGCCUGCCCCAGCUCAUCCACCGAGAUUGGGGAAAGAAAAGGGGGGGGGAGGGAGUCGGUGGAGCGCCUGGAAGAGAAAGAAGGAAGAAAAAGAAAGAAAAGAGGGGGGUGGGGGAGUCGGUGGGGUUGGGUAAGGAAGAAAGAAGAAAAAGAAAGAAGGGGGGAGGGAGAGAGAGAGUUUGUCGGCUGAGUGGGGGUGGGGUAGGUAGGUUUUAAUUUUUUUUUUUGGUUUUGUUUUUUUAAAGUAUUUUUAUUUAAAUUUUUGUUUCUUUUUUAAAAAAAUUUAAAAUAGAAUCGUAUAAAUGAAAUUAAGGGGGGUGUAUUCGUUGUGGAUUUCCACAGACUUUAAAAAGUCCAUGGAAUUUAAAUUCCAU